Passer domesticus (house sparrow) is the source of this 440-nucleotide long non-coding RNA. RefSeq lists it as uncharacterized. The record is from RefSeq and is a predicted model, not a curated record. Lineage: Eukaryota; Metazoa; Chordata; Aves; Passeriformes; Passeridae. The transcript is spliced from 2 exons.
CAGAGAGCUCAGUGCUGCUCUAUCCUUAAUAACCACAGGGUCACCUAGAGACCAACCCCAGAGAGCUCAGGAGAACACAUACAGACACAGGAAUUUGUCUUCAAAACUCAGGCUCCAUUCUACUACCUGUAGCUCUGAGUCUCCUGACUUCAAAACUAACAACGUGGAAUGAUGUUCAUCAAUAUUGAACAUUAACCUCUGUCCUCUUCCCUAUUCCAAAAUAUUAAGGGUUUAUCCUAGAGGUGCAACAUUAUGUGUUGGAAGCACAAAAAACCCUGUUACUUUUGAACUGACAAAGACUUACUUUUCCAAAGUGGCUCAAUUAGUUUCUGCAAGAAAUCAAGUACUUCAUAACUCUCAUUAUCACACAGAAUUAACUCUCUGGAAGUUUGUGGGGAAAAAGAAAAAAAUAAAAAUACCACCUAACAUAUCUUCCUGUA